UUUUUAACCAAGCCAACAAUGAUAGUUUGUUGACAGUCCUAAGCCUGUUAUAAUUGGGAAGGAAAA
Acyrthosiphon pisum (pea aphid) is the source of this 66-nucleotide non-coding RNA. The record is from Rfam. NCBI's taxonomy places the organism in Eukaryota, Metazoa, Arthropoda, Insecta, Hemiptera, Aphididae.